GUGAAAUUCAAUUACUCUACAAUGAAAUUACUUUCCAACAUAUAAAUACGAUAUGAUGUAUCUUAUACUAAAUCCUAGUUCUAAUUUUAUAGGCCACAGGAUGUCUACCUUUUAGGAAAGUAUUCUUAGGACCUCAAAAUGCAUUUUAGAUGCAUUAAGAGCAUGACAACCUAGCACCAUGUUCCCAGUUGAUUCAUUUUCAAAUACAUGUUAAUGCAAUUAUGAUAAGGAAAUUGAAAAAUGGAAGAAGGUGCUGCAAAGAUUAGUAAAAUCAGUUGUCAAUGUUCCAGGAUGUAGGAGAUUUGAUCUUGCAUGCUAGGAAUUGAGAGAUUUAAGGUAUAGGGAGACUUACUCCUAUUGUGUAAUGUAGCCAUUGGAUCAAAAACAAAAAAGAAAAUGCUGAAAAAUUGGAGUUGAUUUGGGUUAGCAUGAUUUUAGGGAUUACCAUAUUUUUAUAGAUUUGUUUGUUUUAUAUCACUUAAUUAGGGCAUUAUUUUAGGAUAAUAGCCUACUUUAUAGGUUUUAUUCUUUUUUAGUUAUUUUCCUUUUUUAGAAGUCUUGUAUAUAUAGCCUAGGAUGUAAUAAACAAAUAUAUGAAAUAGAGAAGCCAACAACUCUCUUUCUCUUCUUGAUCUCUUUUUCUUACCACAUAAGAAAAAUAUGGCAUAAAAGUAUGCAAUUGAUUUUGGUGCAAAUUAUGUUGCAAGUUAUGACCACAUCCACUAGAGAGUGCAUGUAGUGCCCAUUGGGGAUAAAAUGAGGGAGAGUCGAUCAAGAUGAUUUGCUCAUGUCCAAAGCAGAGCAUUGAAUGCCCUAAUGCAGAGGUGUGACAAGUUAGUAGUGGAAGGAGUGAGAAGGGAAAGGCGAGACCUAAAAUGACAUGGAGGGA
This 889-nucleotide unclassified non-coding RNA is filed under the name Hevea brasiliensis (rubber tree). Lineage: Eukaryota; Viridiplantae; Streptophyta; Magnoliopsida; Malpighiales; Euphorbiaceae. The record is from RNAcentral.